RNAcentral lists this ribosomal RNA (459 nucleotides) under uncultured bacterium. RNAcentral describes it as "partial 16S ribosomal RNA". It matches the Rfam family "Bacterial small subunit ribosomal RNA", at positions 338 to 795 of the family's 1533-position model. The record is from RNAcentral.
CCUACGGGAGGCAGCAGUGAGGAAUCUUGGUCAAUGGGCGCGAGCCUGAACCAGCCAAGUCGCGUGAGGGAAGACGGUUCUAUGGAUUGUAAACCUCUUUUGUCGGGGAGCACAAGACGCCACGCGUGGCGUUCUGCGAGUACCCGAAGAAAACGCAUCGGCUAACCCCGUGCCAGCAGCCGCGGUAAUAUGGGGGAUGCGUGCGUUAUCCGGAUUUGUUGGGGUUAACGGGUGGGCAGGGGGAAGAUAAAGUCAGCGGUAAACUUGAGAGGCUCAACCUCUUCGAGCCGUUGAAACUGGUAUACGUGAGUGAGCGAGAGGUAUGCGGAAUGCGAGGUGUAGCGGUGAAAUGCAUAGAUAUCGCGCGGAACUCCAGUUGCGAAGGCAGCAUACCGGCGCGCAACUGACGCUCAGGCACGAAAGUGUGGGUAGCGAACAGGAUUAGAUACCCUAGUAGUC